AUGCCUACCAAGGUAAUGGAUACCAAGAGACUGCUGAGGAGGGACAGCCUCAGCCCUGAUGGAUCAAGCCCCAUCAUCAGGCUUCAUCAACAUGGAGUUAUACCAGCACAAGUGGAAUGUGAGAUAAGGUUACGGUUUCUUUUCCAGUGUAGCCACAUUGCACAAUUCCUACUGUGCACCAUUUAUAGAAGGACUAACAGCUCUAGCUUGUUCUGCAGUUCUAAGAGAGAUCAAACUGUUACAAGCUACGGAAGACUUGUGAAAAACCCUAAUAUCUGGCUGCGAAACUGCUUACAUGCAUUUCGCACCGAAGUAGAACUGAGGAUGCCAGGGAAAGGACUGCAGAAUUAUACCGAUAAAGGGGAGCCAUUCUCUACAGAACCGCCUUGUGCAAAAGCAAAUGCAAAGGGAACUCAGACCCCGUGCAACAACCUGCAGGGACAUCAGCAGGAGAAAAUCUGCUGUUGCCUGCUGCUUGGGGAUUUUAUAUAA
This 492-nucleotide long non-coding RNA is filed under the name Anas platyrhynchos platyrhynchos (common mallard). RNAcentral describes it as "lncRNA (ENSAPLG00000027031.1)". The record is from RNAcentral. Lineage: Eukaryota; Metazoa; Chordata; Aves; Anseriformes; Anatidae.